UAUAUCAACCUGGACCAUAUAGAAACCUUAUGGGGUAAUUACUUAGAAGGCAAUAUUCCGGAUUUUAGUGAGAAUACACAAUUAAAUGAAUUGAACCUGGCGUUUAACAAACUUACAGGCACUAUACCAACGUUUAAUAACAAUAAACAUCUAAUGUCAUUGAAUUUGGAAUCUAACAGAUUCAAAGGCACUAUGCCAAACGUUUGAUAACAAUAUAUACCUAGUA
Long non-coding RNA from Schistocerca gregaria, 226 nucleotides. RefSeq lists it as uncharacterized. The transcript is spliced from 3 exons. NCBI's taxonomy places the organism in Eukaryota, Metazoa, Arthropoda, Insecta, Orthoptera, Acrididae. The record is from RefSeq and is a predicted model, not a curated record.